RNAcentral lists this long non-coding RNA (1782 nucleotides) under Taeniopygia guttata (zebra finch). RNAcentral describes it as "lncRNA (ENSTGUG00000022099.1)". The record is from RNAcentral. Lineage: Eukaryota; Metazoa; Chordata; Aves; Passeriformes; Estrildidae.
UUUUUUUCUUUUUCUUUUUCCUGUGGAUGAAACCAGAAAAUUCCCAUCCAAACAAAAAACUGAAAUGCUAAUUUUAAAAUUAUCAAGACAAAGGUUCUGAAGCAAGUGGGCUGGCAAGAAAUGACAUAUUUUUGUGGAACUUCACACAGCAUCCAUUGAAGAGUGGACAAGCACAAUGUGCUUAUACAAGAGCUGCCUUUUUCAUUCCGUGUUUCUGCCUGGAAAAACCCUCAGACUCUGACUGCUCUCUUCUUCCUCCCCCUUCAUCCCAUUCUCCACUUUUUUUCUUAGGGUCCCAGCAGCUCUGCAGCCCCAGCAUGAACCUCAGAGCUGCCCAAGAGAGGAGGCACAAGCUGCUGCACGGAUGUGGGGGCGUCCUGCAGGCAGAACCUCCAACCAAGCCAUCCCAUGGGAUGAGCUCCCAGUUGCCCAGCUGGGACACAAUCAAACCCCACUGUUCCCCCAUCCAUGAGGGGUUCCCAUGUGGUGUCACUGCCAGGCUAAGGGACACUGAAGGCUUUCCCCACCGUGAGCAGGACUCUGGGACCCGGCAGCUGCUCUCACCUCUGCUCAGGGACAGACACUGGGAACUGUCGGAGCUCCCCGAAGGGCUCAGCUCCAAAGGCUGCUGAACAUUCUGAUUCCUGAGCUGCCCUCCCAGACCCUGCUCAGCAAACCAUUUCUCACUGCAUUAAGGGGAAUUUAAGAAUGUGCUUAUGCAUUUCGAUGAACAGAGAGAGCCUGCUGAAUCAAAGGAACUACUGAGAGCAGAGGACCUUAAAAAUAAUGAUUUUUUUUUCCUGUAAAAGUAUCUGUUAUUUAUUCCCAAGUUCUUAUCUUGUUUAUAACAAAGAAUGAACAAAAUUCCUUUCCCAAGGCUGGAUGGUCCUGGAGCAUAUCCACACCAAACAGGGAUAAAAAUAAGCUUCGUUUUAGACAGAAUAAAUAAGCAAAUGCUUCUUAGUCUCCUGCCUUCUAUCUCUAUUUUUUUUUUUUGUAUUCCUCUGUACACAGCAAGAAUAAGGUGUUAUGGCCUUAUCCAGAAUCUGCUGGACUUCAUGGAGCUCUUUCCGUUGUCUUGAAUGGAUUUUGGAGCAGACCUGGUGACAGAGUCACCAAUAUCUUUAUAGAGGCUUCUCAUCUACUGUCUAGAAAAAGGAAUAUUAUUAAAAUACCAUCGCAACACAUGACCUCCAGGAACUGUCAAUAUUCUAAUUUAAAAUUACCCUGUUUUCUUGCUGAACAUUCUUUAGGAGGACCAAAUCUGUAGCACUGGAUAGGCUUCCAACUUCUGGCUCAUUUUAUAGACAAUCUUUAAACAACAAUUUCCUCUGAAGUACAACACACAUGAAGGUAAAAACAGUAGCUUCCAAACAUCAUAAACCAUCUUUAAGAUGAAUGUGCCCCAAACCAGAAGUCCCUGUGGUUGCAAUAAGGAUGUUUGCUGCUGGUGGUUUUUGGCACAGCCUGGCAAGGUGGGGGUGGUGGGGUCCUGGCCUCUCCCCUGAUGAACCCAGCUGAUAAAGCCACCAUGGCUUUGGUGAGACUGGGGAACACAAAAUGCCCAUAUGCCCUUUAAUUUCAGCUGAUGAGUUUCACACGAUUGAGCUGGGACACUUUUGCCACCAAGGCCCUGACCCAGCUGUCACUGCUGCCACACUGGAGGGCUGCUGUGGAGUAUUCCCACAGUGGGACAAGCUGAUGGCUCCUGUGCCACCCAAGUCCCACAGGUGGAUACAUUUCUCUGUUUGAUAGUGAUUUUCCAGACCCUUAAGUGCUACC